RNAcentral lists this ribosomal RNA (403 nucleotides) under Salmonella enterica subsp. salamae. Its description in RNAcentral is "partial 23S ribosomal RNA". It matches the Rfam family "Bacterial large subunit ribosomal RNA", at positions 911 to 1230 of the family's 2925-position model. The record is from RNAcentral. Lineage: Bacteria; Pseudomonadati; Pseudomonadota; Gammaproteobacteria; Enterobacterales; Enterobacteriaceae.
UGUUUCGGCUAGGGGGCCAUCCCGGCUUACCAACCCGAUGCAAACUGCGAAUACCGGAGAAUGUUAUCACGGGAGACACACGGCGGGUGCUAACGUCCGUCGUGAAGAGGGAAACAACCCAGACCGCCAGCUAAGGUCCCAAAGUCAUGGUUAAGUGGGAAACGAUGUGGGAAGGCCCAGACAGCCAGGAUGUUGGCUUAGAAGCAGCCAUCAUUUAAAGAAAGCGUAAUAGCUCACUGGUCGAGUCGGCCUGCGCGGAAGAUGUAACGGGGCUAAACCAUGCACCGAAGCUGCGGCAGCGAACGUAUCACUUAAAACGAUUCAGAAGCUUACGAUUGACGGAGCGAAGCGACGUCAAAGCGUAUACAAAGUCGAGUCGGUUUAAGGAUACGUUCGUUGGGUA